This 1851-nucleotide long non-coding RNA is filed under the name Vigna radiata. Its description in RNAcentral is "long non-coding RNA (VRAD_LNC004381)". Lineage: Eukaryota; Viridiplantae; Streptophyta; Magnoliopsida; Fabales; Fabaceae. The record is from RNAcentral.
GAUCAUUUCAUUGAUAAUUUCAUAACAAAAGUACAAGCAAAGAUUCAAACAUAAAUGGCUUAAUAGCCAACUUUUACAUUUUUUUAAUUUUUUCAAAAUAGAAAACCAUCAAAACAGACAUGACAAAGACUUUAAACUCCUAUUCUGAUUCAGACAUUUUCAUAGUAUCCUCCUCAGUUGACUCAUCAUCAUUAGACUCUUCUUUUGAAGAAGCACUGUUAAUAUAGUUCUUAAUAAGCUCAUCCACUUUCUUUUCAAUUUUGAACACAGAUUUUUCAACCCUCAGUCUAUGGAGUGAAAGAAGAGUUGUCUUCACCAAAUAAAUAUUUUUUUACGUCCUGAGGCAUGGCAGAGGAGGAAGAUGAGUCACAUAUUAACUCAAAAGUUUGCAUUCUAGUGAAAGGAGAACAUUUAUCCUCUAAUUCAUCAGGAAACAUAGACAAAACCUACAAAAUAUAAAUUAUAACAUUAGACAACAUUGUAAUUCAAUUCUUGUGCUAUAAUGAUAUUGUAAAGUAUCAUAAUUUGACAAAAGAAAAAUACUUACAUCAAUAAUUUUGGAUGACAAAGAUAUAGAUUUUGCCCUUUGCAUGAUUUCAAAUAGUUCAAUCAGAGUAUAUAAGGAACAGAUAUCUUUAGGCAACCAACCUACAUCAAUAUAUAGUUCCUCCACAAAGAGAAGAUUGAUCUCAGUGGAAAAACAAUAUAAAUGAUAACCAUCAUAUUUAAAAUAUCGAAGCCUUGGUGUUUGAAGCUCAAAGACACAGUAAUCUUCAUCAAACCCAUCCACAAGAAAACGUGAUAUAUUUAAGUCUAGAAGGUUGGGGGUAGAGAUUUUGAAGGUAUUGAUUUCAUUAUGGUAUGUACAUCUAUCAAUAUGUAAAGAUUCCAAAUUAACACAACCCUUAAAUUGAUCAAAAGAGUUUUCCCUUCCAACCACAAAUCGACAACAGCAGAGGUAUAGGUGUUUAAGAGAAGGGAUAUCGAAAUUUUUGGUCAGACUGAGCAUGUAAGAAAGUUUGAGAGUGGUGAGAGAGGUACAUACAGAGAGUUUAGGAAGGAUAUUAACAUGACAAUCAGCAAAGAUUGUAAGUACCUGAAUGUUAGUGGCGAUGGAUGGUGUAUCAAUAACAUGGUAAAUGAUGUAAUAUACCACAGCAUUAUCACGUAGGAUGGGUAGAUGGUCUUUGUGACACUUUAAAUUAACAUUGAAAACAUUAGUGGAAUUAUAUCUGUAAAACAAAAAACUAUAUACAAAAUCCUCGAAAGAUAUAGCAUCUUGGUAUAAUGCCUCAUCGAAGUUAAUAACGGGCAGGGCAGCCCAAAGAUACCUAAACCGUUUGUUCAGAACUGAUGUUUGAACUGCAAUUUUCGCAUCCAAAAAAGAAAGGAUGUGUAGAAUAAUUUCCUUAGGUAACUUAGUGAACAUAUCUUCUUCCUUCUCCUUAUCUUUCACCUUAUUUUCUUUCUCUUCCUUUGAAGACUCUCUUCCGUAGAAAUUGUCUCCUUUCAUUUCUGUAAAGUUUUCUUCUCUUCAUAUUUGUUAGAAGUAAACAAAACAGCAUCGGUACAUUUCAAACAUUUAAAUACUGUUAUUCAUUCCGAAAAUGCUAACGAGAAAAAGUUUUCCGAUUCAGUACCUUUUGAGAGUAUAUCUGUUUUCCUUGCGCUGUGCUUCGUCGUUCCAGUGAGUGUUGUGAGAUUUUCCUAUGAGUGUGAGCGGUGGUGAAAAACCCUAGCAGAGUAUCUCUCUCUGCCCUUCUCUUUAGAAUUCUCGAUCUUUCUGCUUUGUCUCUUGUUAAGAAAGAUAUUCUGCUGUGGUGCAUUCUCGGUUUUACCCCUAAAUCUAAU